GCCAAUAAAAACUAAUACAGGCUAAAACAAACAAAAUACUCAUACAUAUAUACGGGGGUGAUGAGAUGCAGCUGAUGCAAAGAGGAAGCCCCACAGCCGGCUGUCACCGAGAUAAAUUGGCUUUAUUUGGUUUCAUCUUCGUGUAUCUAAGUCAAAUGGGAAUCUAUUUAGAGUUGGCCGGUGAUCUCUUUGCUGGACGAUGAAGGAGAAGCGGAGGGAUAAAGAACCGCCCGCCCGAUCCACGAGAUGCUCGACAGCACGCCGACGAAAUAGAAUAGCAUCACCAUCCCCAGCACCCACGGCAUCAUGAUGAAUCCGAUGACGAAGGUGACAGAUCCGCAGAGCAUGAGCGCGAGCGAGACGCCGAGAAGCAGCGCGGCGACGCCGGCCGGCGAGAGCUUAGGGCGGCGGCGGAGCGGAGGAGGGGCGGCGGCGUCGAGGGGGAGGGGGGAGCGGAGGA
Molecule: unclassified non-coding RNA, 460 nt
Filed under: Hevea brasiliensis (rubber tree)
Lineage: Eukaryota; Viridiplantae; Streptophyta; Magnoliopsida; Malpighiales; Euphorbiaceae
Source: RNAcentral